This 418-nucleotide ribosomal RNA is filed under the name Staphylococcus aureus. Its description in RNAcentral is "bacterial SSU rRNA". It matches the Rfam family "Bacterial small subunit ribosomal RNA", at positions 166 to 571 of the family's 1533-position model. Lineage: Bacteria; Bacillati; Bacillota; Bacilli; Caryophanales; Staphylococcaceae. The record is from RNAcentral.
AUACCGGAUAAUAUUUUGAACCGCAUGGUUCAAAAGUGAAAGACGGUCUUGCUGUCACUUAUAGAUGGAUCCGCGCUGCAUUAGCUAGUUGGUAAGGUAACGGCUUACCAAGGCAACGAUGCAUAGCCGACCUGAGAGGGUGAUCGGCCACACUGGAACUGAGACACGGUCCAGACUCCUACGGGAGGCAGCAGUAGGGAAUCUUCCGCAAUGGGCGAAAGCCUGACGGAGCAACGCCGCGUGAGUGAUGAAGGUCUUCGGAUCGUAAAACUCUGUUAUUAGGGAAGAACAUAUGUGUAAGUAACUGUGCACAUCUUGACGGUACCUAAUCAGAAAGCCACGGCUAACUACGUGCCAGCAGCCGCGGUAAUACGUAGGUGGCAAGCGUUAUCCGGAAUUAUUGGGCGUAAAGCGCGCG